CCUGUUGCCUCAUUUGAAACAUCUCAGUUUACACACAGUCCAUUAUUCCUUGGUCUGGAGAUUCUCCGAUCAGGAGGGUGUCUGUGUGUAUGUGUGCAUUUGGGUGUGUGUGAUUGGUUGUGUGUGUCUCUCUCAACUCUAAAGAUCCCUGUCAAUGGGCCUCAACCGUCACCCUUUCACAUAGGGCUAGUUACACUAUAAGUGAGACAUUUGUGCAUCACAGGCUAGAUACGACCUAAGCAUGUCCCCUAGCCCUUCUAAAUAACUCCCCUCUCCCAACCAUGGGAGCUCAUGUCCUGAGCAAAGAACAGUGUUCUGGGCAGGACAGGGCCCCUGAGUGUGUCCAAGGCUUUGUUUAGUCUCUCAGAGCCCCAGCUACAGACCCAUGUAUCCCCAGUCCCAUGUAGCCCCAGUCCCAUGUAUCCCCAGUCCCAUGUAUCCCCAGUCCCAUGUAGUCCCAGUCCCAUGUAGCCCCAGUCCCAUGUAUCCCCAGUCCCAUGUAGCCCCAGUCCCAUCCCCAGUCCCACGUAUCCCCAUCCCAUGUAGUCCCAGUCCCAUGUAGUCCCAGUCCCAUGUAGUCCCAGUCCCAUCCCAUGUAUCCCCAGUCCCAUGUAGUCCCAGUCCCAUGUAUCCCCAGUCCCAUGUAGCCCCAGUCCCAUGUAUCCCCAGCUACAGACCCAGUCCCAUGUAUCCCCAGUCCCAUGUAGUCCCAGUCCCACAUAUCCCCAGUCCCACGUAUCCCCAGUCCCACGUAUCCCCAGUCCCACGUAGCCCCAGUCCCAUGUAUCCCCAGUCCCAUGUAUCCCCAGUCCCAUGUAUCCCCAGUCCCAUGUAUCCCCAGUCCCAUGUAGCCCCAGUCCCAUGUAGCCCCAGCUACAGCCCCAGCCCCAUGUAGCCCCAGUCCCAUGUAGCCCCAGGUACAGCCCCAGUCCCAUGUAGCCCCAGCUACAGCCCCAGCCCCAUGUAUCCCCAGUCCCAUGUAGCCCCAGCUACAGCUACAGCCCCAUGUAGCCCCAGUCCCAUGUAGCCCCAAUCCCAUGUAUCCCCAGUCCCAUGUAGCCCCAGCUACAGCUACAGCCCCAUCUACAGCUACAGCCCCAUGUAGCCCCAGCCCCAUGUAGUCCCAGUCCCAUGUAUCCCCAGACCCAUGUAUCCCCAGCCCCAU
Oncorhynchus tshawytscha (Chinook salmon) is the source of this 1165-nucleotide long non-coding RNA. NCBI's taxonomy places the organism in Eukaryota, Metazoa, Chordata, Actinopteri, Salmoniformes, Salmonidae. The record is from Ensembl.